RNAcentral lists this ribosomal RNA (1476 nucleotides) under Triticum aestivum (bread wheat). RNAcentral describes it as "partial small subunit ribosomal RNA". The record is from RNAcentral. Lineage: Eukaryota; Viridiplantae; Streptophyta; Magnoliopsida; Poales; Poaceae.
AUGGAUUCCAUCUUGGCAAAUGAAACUUGGGAGAUAACUAAUCGUCCUUAUGGGUGCAAACCUAUAGGAUGCAAAUGGGUAUUCAAGAAGAAGCUUAGGCCUGAUGGUACUAUUGAAAAGUACAAGGCUCGGCUCGUGGCUAAGGGUUAUACCCAAAAGGAAGGUGAAGACUUCUUUGAUACUUACUCACCUGUGGCUCGACUGACCACUAUUCGAGUUCUACUUUCACUAGCUGCCUCGCAUGGUCUUCUCGUUCAUCAAAUGGAUGUUAAGACUGCUUUCCUAAAUGGAGAGUUGGACGAGGAAAUUUAUAUGGAACAACCAUAUGGGUUUGUACUAGAUGGUCAGGAAGGGAAAGUGUGCAAGUUGCUGAAGUCUUUGUACGGACUUAAGCAAGCACCCAAACAGUGGCAUGAGAAGUUUGAAAGAACUUUAACACCUGUAGGCUUUGUUGUGAAUGAAGCUAACAAAUGUGUGUACUAUCGCCAUGGUGGGGGCGAGGGAGUUAUCCUGUGCUUGUAUGUUGAUGACAUACCGAUUUUCGGAACCAAUCUGAAUGUUAUUAAGGAGGUAAAGGAUUUCCUAUCUCGUUGUUUUGAGAUGAAGGAUUUAGGAGUGGCUGAUGUCAUUCUGAACAUCAAGUUGUUGAGAGACGAUGAUGGUGGGAUUACAUUGCUUCAAUCUCACUAUGUGGAAAAGAUCUUGAGUCGCUUUGGCUAUAGUGACUGCAAGCCCUCUCCAACACCAUAUGAUGUUAGUGUGUUGCUUCGAAAGAAUCGAAGAAUUGCUAGAGACCAAUUGAACUAUUCUCAGAUUAUUGGCUCGCUUAUGUACUUAGCCAGUGCUACAAGACCUGACAUCUCUUUUGCUAUUAGCAAACUAAGUCGGUUUGUUUCAAAACCAGGAGAUGUGCAUUGGAAAGCUCUAGAGAGAGUUUUGCGUUAUUUGAAAGGCACUGAAAAUUAUGGAAUUCACUACACCGGACAUCCAAAGGUGCUUGAAGGGUAUAGUGACUCAAACUGGAUCUCAGAUGCUGAUGAGAUAAAGGCCACGAGCGGUUAUGUAUUCACUCGUGGAGGUGGCGCUGUUUCUUGGAAGUCUUGCAAGCAGACCAUCUUAACGAGGUCAACAAUGGAAGCAGAACUCACAUCACUAGAUACAGCUACGGUCGAAGCAAAUUGGCUUAGUCGGCUCUUGAAUGACUUACCGGUUGUUGAGAAACCUGUACCGGGUAUCCUUAUGAACUGCGACAAUCAAACUGUGAUCACGAAAGUGAGCAACUCAAAGGAUAACAUGAAGUCAUCAAGACACGUUCAGAGAAGGUUAAAGUCUGUCAGAAAAAUGAAAAACUCCGGAGUUAUUGCAUUGGAUUAUAUCCAAACGUCUAAAAAUCUGGCAGAUCCUUUUACUAAGGGUUUAUCACGUAAUGUGAUAGAUAAUGCAUCGAGGGAGAUGGGUAUGAGACCCACAAUAUGA